GACGGGGGGAACGCGAAGAACCUUACCUGGGUUUGACAUAGGGGUAGUAGCGAGGUGAAAGCCGAGCGACCCUUCGGGGAGCCUCUACAGGUGCUGCAUGGCUGUCGUCAGCUCGUGUCGUGAGAUGUUGGGUUAAGUCCCGCAACGAGCGCAACCCUCGUCGUUAGUUACAAGUGUCUAACGAGACCGCUGGUUUCAAACCGGAGGAAGGUGGGGAUGACGUCAAGUCAGCAUGGUCUUUAUGUCCAGGGCUACACACACGCUACAAUGGCCGGUACAAUGGGUUGCCACACCGCAAGGUGGCGCUAAUCCUCAAAGCCGGUCUCAGUUCAGAUUGUCGUCUGCAACUCGACGGCAUGAAGGUGGAGUUGCUAGUAACCGCGCGUCAGCCAUAGUGCGGUGAAUGCGUUCCCGGGUCUUGUACACACGC
This 430-nucleotide ribosomal RNA is filed under the name uncultured soil bacterium. RNAcentral describes it as "bacterial SSU rRNA". It matches the Rfam family "Bacterial small subunit ribosomal RNA", at positions 953 to 1393 of the family's 1533-position model. The record is from RNAcentral.